GUGCUCACUUUGGCAGCACAUAUACUAAAAUUGGAAUGAUACAGAGAAGAUUAGCACAACCCCUGUGCAAGGAUGACACAUAAAUUCAUGAAGCAUUCCAUAUUUAA
RNAcentral lists this small nuclear RNA (107 nucleotides) under Macaca fascicularis (crab-eating macaque). Lineage: Eukaryota; Metazoa; Chordata; Mammalia; Primates; Cercopithecidae. The record is from RNAcentral.